GGUCUUAUGGUGUAACGGUAGCAUUCCUCUGCUUCAGCGGAGGGAGUCUGCGUUCGAUUCGCAGUGAGAGCA
Molecule: non-coding RNA, 72 nt
Organism: Podospora didyma
Lineage: Eukaryota; Fungi; Ascomycota; Sordariomycetes; Sordariales; Podosporaceae
Source: the annotation of a GenBank genome assembly